GGCUCAGUGGUCUAGUGGUAUGAUUCUCGCUUUGGGUGCGAGAGGCCAUGUGUUCGAUUCCCGUCUGAGCCC
Non-coding RNA from Nematostella vectensis (starlet sea anemone), 72 nucleotides. The record is from Rfam. NCBI's taxonomy places the organism in Eukaryota, Metazoa, Cnidaria, Anthozoa, Actiniaria, Edwardsiidae.